UUUAAUAAUUUUAUAGGGCUCAGACAACAUAAUAGAAGAGUUGUGGAUUCUCUGGCAGGCACUGACCAGCCUAAGCCAGCGGUCGUUAGACGGGCCUGCCAAAGCAACAGGUGUGUAAACAAAGGGUGGGAGAUAUACCCAAAGGGCAUGUUCUCUGUAAUGAUCCUUCCGCAGCAUGAAGGGCCAGCAGCACAACCACUGCCUCGCCCUAGCUGCUCUCCCAAGCAGCUUCUCGAUCAUAUCUUAACCCUAUUGGGCCACCUCUAUUUGACCUGUGAGCCUAUUUUCUAGGCUGCUGGUAUCACAUAACGUGGAUCCUAGCACAGUAGAGAUGUUGCCUGCUGGACAGACUUUUCUAUUCUGGCGAACCUGCAAAGUGUUCACCUACGGAAA
Molecule: unclassified non-coding RNA, 393 nt
Filed under: uncultured fungus
Lineage: Eukaryota; Fungi
Description: sequence contains ITS1
Source: RNAcentral